This 954-nucleotide long non-coding RNA is filed under the name Coturnix japonica (Japanese quail). RNAcentral's name for it is "lncRNA (ENSCJPG00005004722.1)". Lineage: Eukaryota; Metazoa; Chordata; Aves; Galliformes; Phasianidae. The record is from RNAcentral.
UAAGGCCCUGGGCAACUUGAUCUAGCUGUGGUAUCCCUGCUCACUGCAGUGGAGUUGGACUAGAUGCCCUUCAGAGGUUCCUUUCAACUCUAAGGAUUCUAUGAUUUUAAAACUCAACAUGAGAAUCCAGUUCUCCACCUGUUCAGUUAAAGAGCUGAACUGUAGAUUCGUGAGUAAGGUUUAAUGCUUUCAUUUUCGUGUUUUAGUGAUUCUUACAAAAACAGACAUAAAAUUGCAUUUCAGUAGGACCCUAGCUAUUACUUGCAGAUUAUUUUCCCUUACUUUAAAUCGUAUUUAUUCUUUGAGACACUAUAGUCUCUCUGUCAUCAGAUAUAGUAAAGCUAAGUUCAAGCAGAGCACGAAAGAGGCAAGUUUGAAUCAGAAGGAGAAGAAAACCAGUAAGUCCUCAGGCCAGGAUAUCAGGAAGCCAUGCCAAGAAUAUGAACAUUUUCUAUGCUGAUGCUUUCAUUGAUAUCUACAAAGAAAAAAUAUAAUGAAAAAACUUUGAUGAAAGUCAGUAUACCUACUCACAGCCAAUGACUGAUAAAAGGAUGACAAACAUCAUAUAAGCACACAGAUACCAGACAUGAGGACUUCUUAUGUAGUCAGGCAUGCAAACUAUGCAUGCUCAAUAAGAGAUCAGCCAGAGGCCUGCAAUACCUAUGAGACCUUGCUACAUGAGUACUGCAGAGAUACUGCCAAGAAGACUUUGGAAUCAUAACUGUAGCCCAUAAUUGGAUGCAUCAAGAAGAUCCUGAUCAUUGGCUCAAACUCAGAUGUAAUGCAGAAUGGAGAAGCCAUAAAAUCAGGUUUCAUUUUGCUGAGGGAAAGAAAAUCUCAGGAUCCGGAAAUGUGAAGGAGAAGUUUAGACAGAAGACAACUAUGUUGUAUCUAUCGUUACAGGAAAUAGAAAGCUUCAACCGCUCCUUUAAUUGUGGGAAUGAAGGGGAGAGG